CUAACCCUGCGGUGAGCGAUAGCGACAUGUGUUGUCUUGAGCCGAUAAGCAAAUGCUUUAGGAAACCAAAUUUACGGGGUUGAAAAACAAGCCCGCUCCGACGGGAAGUUUGCCAUCCCCAUGCGGUUUCCCACUUGAACCAACAGGUUCAAGAACCCCGUUCGUAACGCCACCGUGGGGCCUUU
Molecule: non-coding RNA, 185 nt
Organism: Methylophaga nitratireducenticrescens
Lineage: Bacteria; Pseudomonadati; Pseudomonadota; Gammaproteobacteria; Thiotrichales; Piscirickettsiaceae
Source: Rfam